AGCGGCAACAGCUCAAAUUUGAAAUCUGGCUCUUUUAGAGUCCGAGUUGUAAUUUGCAGAGGGCGCUUUGGCUUUGGCAGCGGUCCAAGUUCCUUGGAACAGGACGUCACAGAGGGUGAGAAUCCCGUACGUGGUCGCUGGCUAUUGCCGUGUAAAGCCCCUUCGACGAGUCGAGUUGUUUGGGAAUGCAGCUCUAAAUGGGAGGUACAUUUCUUCUAAAGCUAAAUAUUGGCCAGAGACCGAUAGCGCACAAGUAGAGUGAUCGAAAGAUGAAAAGCACUUUGGAAAGAGAGUCAAACAGCACGUGAAAUUGUUGAAAGGGAAGCGCUUGCAGCCAGACUUGCUUGCAGUUGCUCAUCCGGGCUUUUGCCCGGUGCACUCUUCUGCAGGCAGGCCAGCAUCAGUUUGGGCGGUAAGAUAAAGGUCUCUGUCACGUACCUCUCUUCGGGGAGGCCUUAUAGGGGAGACGACAUAUUACCAGCCUGGACUGAGGUCCGCGCAUCUGCUAGGAUGCUGGCGUAAUGGCUGUAAGCGGCCCGUCUUGAAACACGGACCAAGGAGUCUAACAUCUAUGCGAGUGUUUGGGUGUCAAGCCCGAGCGCGUAAUGAAAGUGAACGGAGGUAGGAACCCGCAAGGGUGCACUAUCGACCGAUCCUGAUGUCUUCGGAAGGAUUUGAGUAAGAGCAUGGCUGUUGGGACCCGAAAGAUGGUGAACUAUGCUUGAAUAGGGUGAAGCCAGAGGAAACUCUGGUGGAGGCUCGCAGCGGUUCUGACGUGCAAAUCGAUCGUCAAAUUUGGGCAUAGGGCGAAAGACU
Molecule: ribosomal RNA, 816 nt
Filed under: Alternaria dactylidicola
Lineage: Eukaryota; Fungi; Ascomycota; Dothideomycetes; Pleosporales; Pleosporaceae
Description: LSU rRNA
Rfam family: Eukaryotic large subunit ribosomal RNA
Source: RNAcentral